RNAcentral lists this ribosomal RNA (545 nucleotides) under Scaptomyza reducta. Its description in RNAcentral is "partial 16S ribosomal RNA". It matches the Rfam family "Bacterial large subunit ribosomal RNA", at positions 1806 to 2621 of the family's 2925-position model. Lineage: Eukaryota; Metazoa; Arthropoda; Insecta; Diptera; Drosophilidae. The record is from RNAcentral.
AACAAAAACAUGUCUUUUUGAAUUAAAUUUAAAGUCUAACCUGCCCACUGAAAWUUUUWAAUGGCCGCAGUAUCCUAACUGUGCAAAGGUAGCAUAAUCAUUAGUCUUUUAAUUGAAGGCUGGAAUGAAUGGUUGGACGAAAUAUUAACUGUUUCAUUUGAAUUUUUUAUAGAAUUUUAUUUUUUAGUCAAAAAGCUAAAAUUUAUUUAAAAGACGAGAAGACCCUAUAAAUCUUUAUAUUUUGUUUAUUUUAAUUAUAAAGAUUAUUUUUAUUAUAAUAAAUUAAAAUAUUUUAUUGGGGUGAUAUUAAAAUUUAAAAAACUUUUAAUUUUUAAAAACAUUAAUAUAUGAAUAAUUGAUCCAUUUAUAAUGAUUAAAAAUUUAAGUUACUUUAGGGAUAACAGCGUAAUUUUUUUGGAGAGUUCAUAUCGAUAAAAAAGAUUGCGACCUCGAUGUUGGAUUAAGAUAUAAUUUUGGGUGUAGCCGUUCAAAUUUUAAGUCUGUUCGACUUUUAAAUUCUUACGUGAUCUGAGUUCCAAACCGGA